UUGCUAUGUUUGCAUUAUCAUAGGUUAUUGUGAAGGAGGAGACAUGGCAGAAGCCAUAAAGAAAGCUAAUGGAGUGCUUUUCCCAGAAGAGAAGCUCUGUAAGUGGCUUGUGCAACUUCUAAUGGCACUUGACUACUUGCAUAUGAAUCAUAUUCUUCAUCGUGAUGUCAAGUGUUCAAAUAUCUUUUUGACAAAAGAACAAGACAUUCGUCUUGGUGAUUUUGGACUUGCCAAAAUAUUGACUUCAGAUGACUUUACUUCCUCUGUUGUGGGGACUCCAAGUUACAUGUGUCCUGAACUUCUCACUGAUAUACCUUAUGGUUCAAAAU
Molecule: unclassified non-coding RNA, 329 nt
Filed under: Hevea brasiliensis (rubber tree)
Lineage: Eukaryota; Viridiplantae; Streptophyta; Magnoliopsida; Malpighiales; Euphorbiaceae
Source: RNAcentral